Long non-coding RNA from Apodemus sylvaticus (European woodmouse), 1045 nucleotides. RefSeq lists it as uncharacterized. The transcript is spliced from 3 exons. NCBI's taxonomy places the organism in Eukaryota, Metazoa, Chordata, Mammalia, Rodentia, Muridae. The record is from RefSeq and is a predicted model, not a curated record.
CCGGUCCCCAUCGAAGUUUCCACAGGCCCCACACAGCAUGGCCGCAUAGUUGUCACCAACCAUCACAUCCAGAGGGUGGAAGGAUGCAUCCUUGUGACAUUCUGAAGUUAAGGGGGAAAGCUCCUCAGAUCAGACAGACAAAUUUAUUUAUUUUAUGUAUGUGAGUACACAGUUGCUGUCUUCAGAUACACACCAGAAGAGGACACCACAUCUCAUUACAGAUGGUUCUGAGCCACCAUGUGGUUGCUGGGAUUUGAACUCAGGACCUCUGGAAGAGCAGUCAGUGCUCUUAACCACUGAGCCAUCUUUCCCGUCCCCUGGACUGGGACUUUUGUUGGACCCGUUUCUGCUGAGGUGGUCAGGGUGGGACAGGUGGUACUUCUCAUGAAAGAAAACAAAAACAAAAACAAGCAAACAAACAAACAGCCUGCCUAAGAAUGAAGGACUUUCCCUUUUAAUCCCAGCACUUAGGAAGUAGAGGCAGGUGGAUCUAUGUGAGUUCGAGGCCAGUAUGAUCUACAUAGUGAGUAUCAGGAUAGCUAACGCUACACAGAUGCAUUCACAGAUCCUGUCCAAAGAGAGACAGGGAGACAGAGGCAGAGACAUUGACUUCAGGGACAAGUCAGAAACCCAGAAACCUAGCGGUGGAGCCACCGACAGUGGAGCUGGACUGUCUGGGUGCAGACACUUCUGGGACCGUCUCUGGGUUUCCCAGAUAUGGGGCCAGUCCAUUCAUCUCCCCUCAGCCCUCAGGGUUGUAUUUGGUUUCCUGUCACUGCUAACCAGUGGAGUGUGGAUCAAAAUCAACAGCAAAGCUAGCCUGAAUGUAAGAACUGAGGCCCAGGAGAGGGACCCAGGCUGACGUGGAGAGACAGUUACAAAUCCAGAGAAAAGUGCAGAGACCCGGAUGGGGAACACAGCCUGCAGGGUCACUAUGUAGCCAGGAUGUAGGACUCCAUGACAGGAAGAAGGAAAGCCAGGGAAGACGGCCCUGCCCUCUGUGCCCAGGCUUACCCACACGCCCUUGCUUGGGAUCACAGUCACC